AUGCAGGCUGCAGCACAUGCUUCCAUCACCUCCCUGUGUCGCUCGAGUCAUGGGCUCCAUCGUGUGACGCACUGCAAGGAUGUCAACCAUACUGCUGCAGGGUUCAGUGCCGUCAUCUUUGUCCGCAUCUUCCGCUCGGCAGAUGGAGUCUCCAUCGUUAUAUGGCUGCAGAGGAGAUUCUACUUCAUGUGUUGUCUUACAAGCAACGAGGCUAGCUGUCUUGCACACACCACAAAUGAAGGUUUUGGAACUCCAUUCUCCAAUAGUAUCAGUGAAUCAAACACUCCAAUCUCUCUGAAUUCUAACCCACAACAUCUCCGACACCCUCUCGACGAGCUGCAAUUAGAUCAUAGCUGA
RNAcentral lists this ribosomal RNA (357 nucleotides) under Triticum aestivum (bread wheat). RNAcentral's name for it is "partial small subunit ribosomal RNA". Lineage: Eukaryota; Viridiplantae; Streptophyta; Magnoliopsida; Poales; Poaceae. The record is from RNAcentral.